UCCCCGGUAGCUCAGUGGUAGAGUGGCUGACUGUUAAUCAGCUUGUCGUAGUUUCGAAUACUACCCGGGGAGCCA
Molecule: transfer RNA, 75 nt
Filed under: Caudoviricetes sp.
Lineage: Duplodnaviria; Heunggongvirae; Uroviricota; Caudoviricetes
Description: tRNA-Asn
Rfam family: tRNA
About the family: Transfer RNA (tRNA) molecules are approximately 80 nucleotides in length.
Source: RNAcentral